UGUAACAUCACCACCACUCUCCAAUGUGCAAAUCAGAUAAGACUACAAUGUGAUUGUGAGAACUUGAUGCACUGUUAACUACCAACAUGAUAUCCUGCUGGCAAAAUAGUAGCUGUUGUUUUAUGCCUGUUAAAAAUGAAAAAAAAAGGACCAUAAUACAGCAGAGAGGGUAGGAAGGAACCUCUGAAAAACCUUGUGGAAUAAUUUGUCAACUUCCGAUUUUGUCUUUCUACAUGGAUAUUCAUUCAACAAGUUGUUUCAACAUUGGGAACAUAAUAAGUUUUAGCCAAGUUAUCUACACAUAAGCUUUGCUUUUCCAUUGCUAACAGUAAUGUGAAUUGUUGAUGACAGCAUCAAAUUUAAAUGUUUUUAACAUUCAUUAUUCAUUCAGUAGCACCCAGCCGCUGGCUUCUGCGCCACCGCUGGUGGACGCUGGUGCCAGCGCCAGCUUCCCACCCAUGCCACCCUUCCCCGGCUUCCCACCCUAGUGUCCCGCCUUGGCACUGGACAUGAGCUGGCUCACCUUGUUGGACCAGGAGGCAAGCAUUGUCACGCGAUGCUGGGGUCAGGCUUGGGGACCCUAGCACCACCCCAGAGCCAUCUGCAGCCGGGGGGGGAUGUAGGGUCGGAUGUGGAGUUUUCCUCGGAGGCAUCGCCACCUCCCUGUCCGACUCCGGCUGCAUAUCCUGAGUCGGCUGCUCCCCUCCCACCAGACAAAUGUCUCCAGGACCAAACUCAGAGACGGACGAGGAGGGCACCGGACUGGAGUCUGCCUUGAGGUGGUGUGGGGGCCCAUAUCAUACUCCUGCCUUACCACACAGGAGUAAACUGUGCUGGGUGCAGCCACUCUGGAGAAUCCCUGGGACCACUGGGACCAGACAGACAAUGUACCAGGCUGAGCUGAGCUGGCGCCAGAGGAAUUGCUCUCGGUCACCGUUUGUCCCUGGCAGCCUGGGAACCUCCGCAUCACAUAGGGACACUGUCACUUGAAUUACGGGGUUCCUAGGCUUGUAAAUCAAUGUAAAAUCAAAGCUGAAGUGGGUGAGAGGUGUAUUGAGAUUGGGCCCCAUCUUCUGUUGUAUUAUACGGAACAUGUUAUAUUUGGUGUUUUGAUGUAUAAAGCCAAUCUUUGUAAUCAGUGUAUUCGUGCAGGGGUGUGUGUGCAUGCGUACGUCUCUCUGCGGCAAUUCAUGCAUAUGUUAUAGCAUCUGA
Molecule: long non-coding RNA, 1212 nt
Organism: Acanthopagrus latus (yellowfin seabream)
Lineage: Eukaryota; Metazoa; Chordata; Actinopteri; Spariformes; Sparidae
Exons: 3
Source: RefSeq, a predicted model, not a curated record